CCUACGGGAGGCAGCAGUGGGGAAUAUUGGACAAUGGGGGCAACCCUGAUCUAGCCAUGCCGCGUGUGUGAAGAAGGCCCUCGGGUUGUAAAGCACUUUCAGUGAGGAAGAACGCCUGGUGGUUAAUACCCAUCAGGAAAGACAUCACUCACAGAAGAAGCACCGGCUAACUCCGUGCCAGCAGCCGCGGUAAUACGGAGGGUGCGAGCGUUAAUCGGAAUUACUGGGCGUAAAGCGCGCGUAGGUGGCUUGAUAAGCCGGUUGUGAAAGCCCCGGGCUCAACCUGGGAACGGCAUCCGGAACUGUCAAGCUAGAGUGCAGGAGAGGAAGGUAGAAUUCCCGGUGUAGCGGUGAAAUGCGUAGAGAUCGGGAGGAAUACCAGUGGCGAAGGCGGCCUUCUGGACUGACACUGACACUGAGGUGCGAAAGCGUGGGUAGCAAACAGGAUUAGAUACCCUGGUAGUC
Molecule: ribosomal RNA, 465 nt
Filed under: Vreelandella stevensii
Lineage: Bacteria; Pseudomonadati; Pseudomonadota; Gammaproteobacteria; Oceanospirillales; Halomonadaceae
Description: partial 16S ribosomal RNA
Rfam family: Bacterial small subunit ribosomal RNA
Source: RNAcentral